RNAcentral lists this ribosomal RNA (468 nucleotides) under uncultured bacterium. Its description in RNAcentral is "partial 16S ribosomal RNA". It matches the Rfam family "Bacterial small subunit ribosomal RNA", at positions 28 to 507 of the family's 1533-position model. The record is from RNAcentral.
GACGAACGCUGGCGGCGUGCUUAACACAUGCAAGUCGAACGGAAAGGCCCGGCUUUUGUGGGGUGCUCGAGUGGCGAACAGGUGAGUAACACGUGAGUAACCUGCCCCUGACUUUGGGAUAACAUCAGGAAAAUGGGGCUAAUACCGGAUAGGAUCUCUUGCUGCAUGGUGGGGGUUGGAAAGUUUCGGCGGUUGUGUAUGGGCUCGUGGCUUAUCGGCUUGAUGGUGGGGUAGUGCCUGACCAAGCCUUCGACGGGUAGGCGGCCUGAGAGGGUGACCGGCCACACUGGUUCUGAGGUACGGCCCAGACUGCUACGGUAGCCAGCUGUGGGAAAUAUUGCACAAUGGGCGCAGGCCUGAUGCAGCAGCGCUGCGUGCCGUAAGACGGCCUUCGGGUUGUAAACCGCUUUCGCCUGUAACGGAGCGUGUGUGACGGUAAUGUGUAAAGAAGCACCGGCUAACUUCGUG